RNAcentral lists this ribosomal RNA (515 nucleotides) under uncultured bacterium. RNAcentral's name for it is "partial 16S ribosomal RNA". It matches the Rfam family "Bacterial small subunit ribosomal RNA", at positions 28 to 523 of the family's 1533-position model. The record is from RNAcentral.
GAUGAACGCUGGCGGCGUGCCUAAUACAUGCAAGUCGAGCGAAUGGAUUAAGAGCUUGCUCUUAUGAAGUUAGCGGCGGACGGGUGAGUAACACGUGGGUAACCUGCCCAUAAGACUGGGAUAACUCCGGGAAACCGGGGCUAAUACCGGAUAACAUUUUGAACCGCAUGGUUCGAAAUUGAAAAGCGGCUUCGGCUGUCACUUAUGGAUGGACCCGCGUCGCAUUAGCUAGUUGGUGAGGUAACGGCUCACCAAGGCAACGAUGCGUAGCCGACCUGAGAGGGUGAUCGGCCACACUGGGACUGAGGCACGGCCCAGACUCCUACGGGAGGCAGCAGUAGGGAAUCUUCCGCAAUGGACGAAAGUCUGACGGAGCAACGCCGCGUGAGUGACGAAGGCUUUCGGGUCGUAAAACUCUGUUGUUAGGGAAGAACAAGUGCUAGUUGAAUAAGCUGGCACCUUGACGGUACCUAACCAGAAAGCCACGGCUAACUACGUGCCAGCCGCCGCGGUAA